Molecule: ribosomal RNA, 188 nt
Filed under: uncultured Bacteroidota bacterium
Lineage: Bacteria; Pseudomonadati; Bacteroidota
Description: uncultured Bacteroidetes bacterium partial 16S ribosomal RNA
Rfam family: Bacterial small subunit ribosomal RNA
Source: RNAcentral
UACGGGAGGCAGCAGUGAGGAAUAUUGGACAAUGGAGGCAACUCUGAUCCAGCCAUGCCGCGUGCAGGAAGACUGCCCUAUGGGUUGUAAACUGCUUUUAUACAGGAAGAAACCUUGGUACGUGUACCAAGCUGACGGUACUGUAARAAUAAGGAUCGGCUAACUCCGUGCCAGCAGCCGCGGUAAUA